Long non-coding RNA from Eurytemora carolleeae, 739 nucleotides. RefSeq lists it as uncharacterized. The transcript has 4 exons. The record is from RefSeq and is a predicted model, not a curated record. Lineage: Eukaryota; Metazoa; Arthropoda; Copepoda; Calanoida; Temoridae.
UUUUCAUGUUUAUUGAACUAUUUAAAAUCAGUCGUCUUCCUGUUCGAAAGUUGUAUUGCCCCCAAAGUAAGUUCUAAAACUAUGGCGGCAUGCCUCCAGGGAUAAGGACGCCAAAGAAUUUAAACGAGUCAAAUGGGAGUUAGAAAACCUUGCCAAAACCUGCAGAAAUCUUCAAAUUAAACUUGGCAGGACUCAGGCUAAAGCCACUAGACUCAGAUUGGAGAAAGAAGAACUGGAAGAGAAGAAGGUUGAAACAACAAUGUGGAAAACUACCGCAUUUCUAGCCGCAGCACUGGUUGCUGGUAUUCAUCUUCUCUCAGGAAAGCUGAAAUAAUAUGUCAGAGGGAGGAAGAAGUCGAAUAAUAGUCUUGUGAUUAAGUUUUUUAAUGUUGGGUCAGAUUUAGUAGACCUUAGAAGAGGUGGAAAUUUUUGUUUACAUUCUUAUGACGUAUUAGGACAGUUCUAGAACAAGUUACGUUGUAAACAAACAACAUUCAGUAAACAGUAAUAUCCCAGAACUACCUGGCUUUGUUUAUAAUCUUUGUGAUUGUUUACAAUAGAACCAGUGCCUUAGAUGUCCAAACUUAAAAUGUCAACAAAUCCUUUCCCCUUUUCAAGCUCUUCUUAAAAUACACGAUUCUAACAUUAAUGUGUUGAUAAUAUCCAAAUAGAUUAUCAAGUACAAUAGGUGGCAACAGAGAAAUGGACCAAUUAUACACGACGUCACAAGUGCCAAAUA